This 481-nucleotide ribosomal RNA is filed under the name uncultured bacterium. RNAcentral describes it as "partial 16S ribosomal RNA". It matches the Rfam family "Bacterial small subunit ribosomal RNA", at positions 30 to 506 of the family's 1533-position model. The record is from RNAcentral.
AUUGAACGCUGGCGGCAUGCUUUACACAUGCAAGUCGAACGGUAACAGGCCGCAAGGUGCUGGCGAGUGGCGAACGGGUGAGUAAUGCAUCGGAACGUGCCCAGUCGUGGGGGAUAACUACUCGAAAGAGUAGCUAAUACCGCAUACGAUCUAUGGAUGAAAGCGGGGGACCGUAAGGCCUCGCGCGAUUGGAGCGGCCGAUGUCAGAUUAGGUAGUUGGUGGGGUAAAGGCUCACCAAGCCAACGAUCUGUAGCUGGUCUGAGAGGACGACCAGCCACACUGGGACUGAGACACGGCCCAGACUCCUACGGGAGGCAGCAGUGGGGAAUUUUGGACAAUGGGCGCAAGCCUGAUCCAGCAAUGCCGCGUGCAGGAAGAAGGCCUUCGGGUUGUAAACUGCUUUUGUACGGAACGAAACGGCUCUGGUUAAUACCCGGGGCUAAUGACGGUACCGUAAGAAUAAGCACCGGCUAACUACGU